GGACUACUACAGUAGUAGUCCGUGCUUAAAAGGUCUUUAAUCGUGUGGAUUAUGGAACGACCUUAUCACUUUAUCAGUUAUCUUUCUUAAGAUGGCCGUGACGCACCACGGCGCGACUGUAUGUAAAAUAAUAAUUACUAAAAAUGUAAAUUUGUAAUUAUUGUUUAUUUAAUAAUAUGAUUUUAUAAGUAAAACAAUAUCAACAUGUUCAAACUGCAAUAUAAUACCAGAGUGUGCUUUUUCCGCCACUUGAAAUUCAGUAUCGGUUACACGAUAGACACAAAACACCCGAGUAGUCGUGCCGCUUCUAAAUCUGUAGUAGUUGAUGGUAAAUCAUAUAUUGAAGACGAAUACACGAAUGUCACGCCAAAAAUAUUAUCGUUUAUCGGUACCAACAAUCACAACCGUUGUGGCCACCCUCUCAACUUGUUCAAACAGCGUCUUGUCGAUUUUUUCUACGAUCAUUUCAGAGGACGAACGGGUAAUCCAAUUUUUUCUAUUUACGACAAAAUAAAUCCAGUCGUGACGACAAAUGAAAAUUUUGACUCUCUACUUGUACCCAAAGAUCACCCAAGUAGAAACAAAACCGAUAGUUAUUAUUUGAACAAGACUCACAUGCUUCGUGCCCACUGUACUGCACACCAGUCCGAAUUAAUAAAAAUGGGUUUGGACAAUUUUGUAGUAUUCGGUGAUGUGUACAGGAGAGAUGAAAUCGACGCCACUCACUAUCCUGUAUUUCAUCAGGCUGACGGUGUGCAUAUAUUUACACCCAAUGAAUUAGAAUUAAUCAACGGAACUAAUGUUAAUGUAUUUGAUAACGACAAAAACAAUUCAAACGAUGAAAAGCAAGGGGUUUAUUCAAAAGAAGCCAAUGAAAUUGUUACUGAUCACUUGAAAAAAACAUUGGUUACGAUGAUUAAAAAAGUAUUUGGCGAAGAAAUUGAA
RNA transcript from Acyrthosiphon pisum (pea aphid), 945 nucleotides. It is a transcript of the gene named phenylalanine--tRNA ligase, mitochondrial pseudogene, with no coding region annotated. Lineage: Eukaryota; Metazoa; Arthropoda; Insecta; Hemiptera; Aphididae. The transcript has a single exon. The record is from RefSeq and is a predicted model, not a curated record.